This is a non-coding RNA of Habropoda laboriosa, 72 nucleotides long. NCBI's taxonomy places the organism in Eukaryota, Metazoa, Arthropoda, Insecta, Hymenoptera, Apidae. The record is from Rfam.
UCCUCGUUAGUAUAGUGGUCAGUAUCUCCGCCUGUCACGCGGAAGACCGGGGUUCGAUUCCCCGACGGGGAG